UACGUAGGGGGCUAGCGUUGUCCGGAAUCAUUGGGCGUAAAGCGCGCGUAGGCGGUCAGGUAAGUCCGGUGUGAAAGUCAAAGGCUCAACCUUUGAAUGCCGCUGGAUACUACUUGACUUGAGUCCGGAAGGGGCGAGUGGAAUUCCUGGUGUAGCGGUGAAAUGCGCAGAUAUCAGGAGGAACACCAAUGGCGAAGGCAGCUCGCUGGAACGGUACUGACGCUGAGGCGCGAAAGCGUGGGGAGCGAACAGG
Molecule: ribosomal RNA, 253 nt
Filed under: uncultured bacterium
Lineage: Bacteria
Description: partial 16S ribosomal RNA
Rfam family: Bacterial small subunit ribosomal RNA
Source: RNAcentral